This 66-nucleotide transfer RNA is filed under the name Polynemus paradiseus (paradise threadfin). RNAcentral's name for it is "tRNA-Cys". The record is from RNAcentral. Lineage: Eukaryota; Metazoa; Chordata; Actinopteri; Polynemidae.
AGCCCAGCAGUGUCAGGCACGUUAGAUUGCAAACCUAAAGGCGCAGGCUAACGCCUGCCUGGGCUU